RNAcentral lists this signal recognition particle RNA (99 nucleotides) under Actinomycetota bacterium. RNAcentral's name for it is "signal recognition particle sRNA small type". It matches the Rfam family "Bacterial small signal recognition particle RNA". Rfam says of the family: The signal recognition particle (SRP) is a universally conserved ribonucleoprotein involved in the co-translational targeting of proteins to membranes. Lineage: Bacteria; Bacillati; Actinomycetota. The record is from RNAcentral.
GCGGCGGCCCCGCGUAACGUGGAUGUGUGAACCCCGUGAGGUCCGGAAGGAAGCAGCGGUAAGCAUCUUUCCGCGUGUACCGCGGCAAGCCGCCACCCG